RNAcentral lists this ribosomal RNA (721 nucleotides) under uncultured Bacilli bacterium. Its description in RNAcentral is "bacterial SSU rRNA". It matches the Rfam family "Bacterial small subunit ribosomal RNA", at positions 42 to 745 of the family's 1533-position model. Lineage: Bacteria; Bacillati; Bacillota; Bacilli. The record is from RNAcentral.
GCGUGCUAAUACAUGCAAGUCGAGCGGACCGACGGGAGCUUGCUCCCUUAGGUCAGCGGCGGACGGGUGAGUAACACGUGGGUAACCUGCCUGUAAGACUGGGAUAACUCCGGGAAACCGGGGCUAAUACCGGAUGCUUGAUUGAACCGCAUGGUUCAAUCAUAAAAGGUGGCUUUUAGCUACCACUUGCAGAUGGACCCGCGGCGCAUUAGCUAGUUGGUGAGGUAACGGCUCACCAAGGCGACGAUGCGUAGCCGACCUGAGAGGGUGAUCGGCCACACUGGGACUGAGACACGGCCCAGACUCCUACGGGAGGCAGCAGUAGGGAAUCUUCCGCAAUGGACGAAAGUCUGACGGAGCAACGCCGCGUGAGUGAUGAAGGUUUUCGGAUCGUAAAACUCUGUUGUUAGGGAAGAACAAGUACCGUUCGAAUAGGGCGGUACCUUGACGGUACCUAACCAGAAAGCCACGGCUAACUACGUGCCAGCAGCCGCGGUAAUACGUAGGUGGCAAGCGUUGUCCGGAAUUAUUGGGCGUAAAGCGCGCGCAGGCGGUUUCUUAUGUCUGAUGUGAAAGCCCCCGGCUCAACCGGGGAGGGUCAUUGGAAACUGGGGAACUUGAGUGCAGAAGAGGAGAGUGGAAUUCCACGUGUAGCGGUGAAAUGCGUAGAGAUGUGGAGGAACACCAGUGGCGAAGGCGACUCUCUGGUCUGUAACUGACG